UAUCUCUGUAGAGUCUGCAUAUCAAUAAGCGGAGGAAAAGAAACUAACUAGGAUUCCCUAGUAACGGCGAGUGAAGCGGGAAGAGCUCAAAUUUGAAAUCUUCAAGGUUUGACCUUGACGAAUUGUAGUUUAAAGAAGUGUUUUCGGUUAGAGGAGUGGUAAAAGUUCUUUGGAAUAGGACAUCAUAGAGGGUGAGAAUCCCGUAUUUGACCAUUCUUUCUAGCUUUGUGAUACACUUUCAAAGAGUCGGAUUGUUUGGGAAUGCAGUCCAAAAUGGGUGGUAAAUUUCAUCUAAAGCUAAAUAUUGGCGAGAGACCGAUAGCGAACAAGUACCGUGAGGGAAAGAUGAAAAGAACUUUGAAAAGAGAGUUAAACAGUACGUGAAAUUGUCAAAAGGGAAGCGUUUGACACCAGUGUUGUUUUUCCGAAAAUCAAUUAAAAAUGGAUUCAUGCUAAGUUGUAUUGACCUUAUCAGCUUGCAAUUUAGUUUUGGGUUUCUUUUUGGUGCACUUUUCGGUUAACAAGUCAACAUCAAUUUCCUUUGCUGUAAAAAGGCAGGAGGAAGGUGGCUUCAACUUCGGUUGAAGUGUUUAUAGCCUUCUGUCUCUGCAGUCGGGGAGAUUGAGGUCUGCAGCGUAGAUCCUUCGGGGCUAGAUACAUUCGUGCUAAGUUAUAGCCUUUUAUAGACAACUUGUUGACUAUGAUUGGUCUUGUAAUUUACUCGCGAGUGCUAUUUUACCUACGCUUAGGAUGUUGAUCUACAGAGCGAGAGU
Molecule: ribosomal RNA, 773 nt
Filed under: uncultured Neocallimastigales
Lineage: Eukaryota; Fungi; Neocallimastigomycota; Neocallimastigomycetes; Neocallimastigales
Description: partial large subunit ribosomal RNA
Rfam family: Eukaryotic large subunit ribosomal RNA
Source: RNAcentral